UGAAACCGUUCGGGGGUAAACGGACAGAGCCCGUGAAUCCGGGCGCGCGGAAUUCAGAACCGACGAGCAUACUUCGUCGAUUCGAUAUUUCCGCCGCCGACCCGUAGAAACGGGUGCGGACGUCGCGACCCGUUCGUCGUCGAUCUGACGAGUCGCGUUUCGAGUUCGAGGCGCGCGCGUUUCGUUCGCGUGCGCGCGCGUCGCGAUGGCGCGAUACUCGGAUCGGCGUGCGCGGACGGUAGCUGUGAACGCGCGGGUAAUCGACGCCGACGAUAUACGGUCGUAUUGCUGCGACGGUAUAUGUUCGAGCGUCGACGCCGGUCAGCGACGAAUUUUCGGGCCU
This 343-nucleotide ribosomal RNA is filed under the name Cryptes baccatus. RNAcentral describes it as "partial large subunit ribosomal RNA". The record is from RNAcentral. Lineage: Eukaryota; Metazoa; Arthropoda; Insecta; Hemiptera; Coccidae.